This 775-nucleotide ribosomal RNA is filed under the name uncultured Neocallimastigales. RNAcentral's name for it is "partial large subunit ribosomal RNA". It matches the Rfam family "Eukaryotic large subunit ribosomal RNA", at positions 23 to 647 of the family's 3401-position model. Lineage: Eukaryota; Fungi; Neocallimastigomycota; Neocallimastigomycetes; Neocallimastigales. The record is from RNAcentral.
GAGAGAGAGACAUGCGCGCAUAUCAAUAAGCGGAGGAAAAGAAACUAACAAGGAUUCCCCUAGUAACGGCGAGUGAAGCGGGAAGAGCUCAAAUUUGAAAUCUUAAAGGGUUUCCCUUUACGAAUUGUAGUUUAAAGAAGUGUUUUCUGUUAGAUGAGUAGCAAAAGUUCUUUGGAAUAGGACAUCAUAGAGGGUGAGAAUCCCGUAUUUGACCUUUACUUUCAACUUUGUGAUACACUUUCAAAGAGUCGGAUUGUUUGGGAAUGCAGUCCAAAAUGGGUGGUAAAUUUCAUCUAAAGCUAAAUAUUGGCGAGAGACCGAUAGCGAACAAGUACCGUGAGGGAAAGAUGAAAAGAACUUUGAAAAGAGAGUUAAACAGUACGUGAAAUUGUCAAAAGGGAAGCGUUUGACACCAGUGUUGUUUUUCUGAAAAUCAAUUAAAGAACUGUUUAUGCUAAGCUGUUUAGACUUUAUCAGCUAUCUGUUUAGUUUUGAGCUUUUCUUUAAUGCACUUUUCAGUUAACAAGUCAACAUCAAUUUCUUUUGCUGUAAAAAAGCUUGAGGAAGGUGGCUUGAGAUUCGUCUUAAGUGUUUAUAGCCUCUUGCCUAUGCAGUCGGAGAGAUUGAGGUCUGCAGCGUAGAUCCUUCGGGGCUAAAUGCAUUUGUGCUAAGUUAUAGCAUUUUAUAGACAACUUGUUGACUAUGAUUUGUCUUGUAGCUUACUCGCUUAUGUUAUUUUACCUACGCUUAGGAUGUUGACGCAUGAGAUAUACGC